GUCAGCAGCCGCGGUAACACCGGCGGCCCGAGUGGUGAUCGUGAUUAUUGGGUCUAAAGGGUCCGUAGCCGGUUGGUCAGUCCUCCGGGAAAUCUGAUAGCUCAACUAUUAGGCUUUCGGGGGAUACUGCCAGACUUGGAACCGGGAGAGGUAAGAGGUACUACAGGGGUAGGAGUGAAAUCUUGUAAUCCCUGUGGGACCACCUGUGGCGAAGGCGUCUUACCAGAACGGGUUCGACGGUGAGGGACGAAAGCUGGGGGCACGAACCGGAUUAGAUACCCGGGUAGUCCCAGCCGUAACGAUGCUCGCUAGGUGUCAGGCAUGGCGCGACCGUGUCUGGUGCCGCAGGGAAGCCGUGAAGCGAGCCACCUGGGAAGUACGGCCGCAAGGCUGAAACUUAAAGGAAUUGGCGGGGGAGCACAACAACGGGUGGAGCCUGCGGUUUAAUUGGACUCAACGCCGGACAACUCACCGGGGGCGACAGCAAUAUGUAGGCCAAGCUGAAGACUUUGCCUGAAUCGCUGAGGAGUGGUGCAUGG
RNAcentral lists this ribosomal RNA (539 nucleotides) under uncultured archaeon. Its description in RNAcentral is "bacterial SSU rRNA". It matches the Rfam family "Archaeal small subunit ribosomal RNA", at positions 457 to 997 of the family's 1478-position model. The record is from RNAcentral.